This is a long non-coding RNA of Corapipo altera (White-ruffed manakin), 103 nucleotides long. RefSeq lists it as uncharacterized. The record is from RefSeq and is a predicted model, not a curated record. Lineage: Eukaryota; Metazoa; Chordata; Aves; Passeriformes; Pipridae. The transcript is spliced from 3 exons.
AGUCUGUGCUCUUUUUAACUUCUGUCUUCAGCACAUCAUCGAUUUCUUCAUAAAUAGCUCUGAAAGAGGAGGAAUUACAUCACAGGUCUGAACUCCAGUUACC